AAAUGAGCUAAUUUUUUUUUCAUAUAGAGGGGCAUUUUUGUCAUUCAAUCAAAAGUUAGAUGGAGCCGUUAGAAAUAACUGAAAAAUUAACGGAAUUGGGAGCGCGGUGCAACACGUCAUUUUUUUUAGUGCGCGGUGUAAAAUGUCAAUUUAUUUGGGGGUAGGUUACAAAUUUUCCUUUUUUUUAAUAAUAAAUAUUUACGCAGCUGUUGAAAAUAUAAAUAUUGCAAUAUUGAUAUAUAAUAAAUUAUAAUUAACGAUGCAUCAAAUGUAAAUAUCAAUAAAUAUCAAUACAUACUAAAAUUAGUGCUUAUAUCGUGUCAUGCUCAUCAAGUUGACCAAAAUUCAAACGCUAUUAAUCUCUUGCCACUACCUCUCACAAUUAUUUUUUACUAGGUAAGAGUCAAUAAUAAUUUUAUAGAUAGUCAAUCAUAAUAUUAUAGAUAAGUUUUAAUUUAUCCUUUUUGGAUGUACGUAUUGGAAUGCGAGAAAUAACUCGAAAGACGAAACUCUAAAAAUGCGCGACUGAGAAACUGAAUAUAACGAGUGUUUAGCAUUGACAGCAAACAUGAUAGAAAAACCAUUUAAACUGAGAGUUAAAUGCUUCUCCCAAAAAAAAAAAAAAAAAAAACUGAUAGUUAAAUGUCCAAUAACAGUAGUAAAAACAAAUGUGAGCAAUAACUUUCGUACAUGUUUAUUGUUUUACAAGCGCUAGAAAGAUGGCUGGGUUAUCUCAAAGCCAAUUCCAAUGUGUAAAUUGAACAAAUCUCAGAACACAUUGUUGCUUCCUUGUCAGCUAGUGCUAGGUAACGUAAUAAUUUGUGGAACAAUAAUGCAUGCCUGCAUAUUUACAUUUGCCAACACUAGCUAGCAACUAGAGAUGACAAGUAGCAAGAAAGCAAUUGGUGACAUAUUCAUGCAUGUGUCCGUAAAUUUGUGUAGAAAUAGCCAGAGAACUUUGGUGAUUGAUCAUUUCAUGUUGGCGUCAAAGACAGAGACUGCCAACUUUAACGUGAGGCACUUAAAUAGUUUCCGAAAAGUAUAAAUUUCAUGAGGGUGGGGAUUUGAAAUUAUAUUGAAAGUCUAAAUUGAAGUCCUGUUUUCUGCACUGUGGCAACUAGGUUAAUGCGUUGCCACAACAUAGUGCCAAACUGGCAUCAUAUAUACAUUCUAAUAAAGUGGUAUUUAUUUUACCACUAGGGAUAUAUAUAAAAGAGAAAAACGAUAUUUUAUUACAAAAUUUUAGUUAAUAAAGAUAAUAAAUUAGUUAUCUUAUAUUUUUAUGACACAAAAUAUAUUGUCACAUAUAAAUCAUUGAAAGUGCGUCAUAUUAGGCUUUAACAACUAAAAUUAUUUUUCUCAUAUAAAAGAAUGUGUUUUUGUGACUAAAAUAUUUGUCUCAAAUUUAAAUUAAACACGUCAUAUAUGGUAUUAAAACGGUCAAUUUAAAUAUUUAAAAAAUAUCUUAAUAUCUCUUAUUAAAAACUCAAUGAUCUACAUAAUUAUUUUUCUAAAUUUUAGGAACAUAAAUAUCUUUUUUUUUCUCUUACCACUAUAAUUAUUUACAAUAGAGAAAUGAGACUCUAGAUUCUAAUGCUAUUCUAAUGUUUUCUCUUAAAAUAAUAAAACAAAGAGCGUUUUAACACUUUGUUAUAUGCCCUUGGUGGCUUCAAGAAUCAAGUUGAUAGAACCAUAAUGCGGGAAUGUAUAACACACGUGUCCUCCCAGUAGUCCUCAACGACAGUCAAAUGAUCAUUGUUUUUAAAGUGGGUCUAUUAUCUGCCGUCUCCAGACAACUUUAUGAAGGGGAAUGGCUCCUUCGGGCCUUUCCAUUGAAAGAUAUCAGAUCGGUUUUAAUUAAUAUUAGCUUAUAAUAAUUAGCAAGAACCGUGGAUAUGUGCUUAGGGAUGUAGGGUAGCUUAAGUUUUGAAGUUGAUACUUGCGCCUUUUUUAUUUUUUAUUUUUGGACAGAUGAUGACAUUUCCCUAUUCUCAAAAACACCUAAGUCUCUAUUUAAUAUAGCUUACUAAUAACUUUAAGUAUUUAUUUAAUUCCUUCAAU
RNAcentral lists this long non-coding RNA (2061 nucleotides) under Citrus x clementina. RNAcentral's name for it is "Citrus clementina (C. clementina) long non-coding RNA (CCLE_LNC005432)". The record is from RNAcentral. Lineage: Eukaryota; Viridiplantae; Streptophyta; Magnoliopsida; Sapindales; Rutaceae.